GUCCGAAAUCUGCGCCGGAACCAAGCGGCAUCCAACAUUUGUCACAGCCAUGCUCACCGCCACGGACCGUAAACCCCUGAACGGAGGGGCGUCAGCAGUAGCUAGUGGCAUCAGUUACUGCUGUAAACCCGUAGAGUUCAGGAGAUUGGGGUCGGUGGCGGCGAGCAUGGCUGUGACAAAAUUGGAUGCCGCCUUGGUUCCGGCGCAGAUUUCGGAC
This 217-nucleotide microRNA precursor is filed under the name Ectocarpus siliculosus. RNAcentral's name for it is "miR8622a stem-loop (esi-MIR8622a)". It matches the Rfam family "MIR8622 microRNA precursor family". Lineage: Eukaryota; Phaeophyceae; Ectocarpales; Ectocarpaceae. The record is from miRBase by way of RNAcentral.